RNAcentral lists this ribosomal RNA (18 nucleotides) under Amanita sp. Arora11345. RNAcentral's name for it is "partial 28S ribosomal RNA". Lineage: Eukaryota; Fungi; Basidiomycota; Agaricomycetes; Agaricales; Amanitaceae. The record is from RNAcentral.
UGACCUCAAACAAGCAAG